Molecule: long non-coding RNA, 2802 nt
Organism: Haliotis rubra (blacklip abalone)
Lineage: Eukaryota; Metazoa; Mollusca; Gastropoda; Lepetellida; Haliotidae
Exons: 4
Source: RefSeq, a predicted model, not a curated record
UGGCAUGUGGUCAAUGUGACAUAUCUAUUGUCAAACACAUCCUAUCCAUGAAAACAUGUGACAUCAACAGACGAGGAGGAUUCUCAGGAAAAACACCAAUCAUGAUAGCAUCAGAAAGGGGACACUAUGAUUUGUAUCAUCUCCUUGUAUCUGAGGGCACAGAUCUGACAAUUACGGAUGAAGACAACAGAGACUGCUUGAUGUUGGCAUAUGGUCAAUGUGACAUAUCUAUUUGUGACAUACAUUCUAUCCAUGAAAACAUGUGCCAUCAACAGACGGGGACGUGUAUCAAAACAAACUACCAAAUACCGAUUAUGAAGGCAUUAGGAAGAAAACGCUAUGACGUUUAUUGUGUGGCCUUAUAUGGGACCUUAAUUAAUGGAUAAAACAUUGUUAUGCAUGUGAACACUAUGACGUCUGAAAGUGCUGCUUCCUUCUGUGCCACUAUUAGGAAAUGGCUGGUUCGAGAAUGGGAAGGAAAAGUACCAGGAUGGCCUAAGGUCAGGAAUACCUUCAACUGUCAGCAGCAGAAAUUUUGAUCUGAUUGUGGACGAUUGUAGCAAAAGCGAAUACAAUAGGUAUUUGUCGAGAGAUUUGAAAAAUACUGAGGACUUGAUUAAAGGCAUCAGCAUGAUGGGCUACAAGACUGUAGUCGCUUUGUAAACGUCAUGCUCUUGUUUUGUAUGGAUGCAUAUAUCAUUGUAUAGUAUUGUAAAGGUGUAUAUAGCUGUGUUCUGCGUUGAAGUGUAUACAACAUUGUUUUGUGUUAUAUUGAUGAACAUAUCGUUGUAUAGUUUUGACAAGGUGCGUAUAUCACAGUAUAGUGUUGACAAGGUGCAUAUAUCAUAGUAUAGUGUUGACAAGGUGUAUAUAUCAUAGUAUAGUAAGUUGACAAGGUGUAUAUAUCAUGGUAUAGUGUUGACAAGGUGUACAUACCAUAGUAUAGUGUUUAAAGGUGUAUAUAUCAUAGUAUAGUGUUGACAAGGUGUAUAUAUCAUAGUAUAGUGUUGACAAGGUGUAUAUAUCAUAGUAUAGUGUUGACAAGGUGUACAUACUAUAGUAUAGUGUUGAAAGGUGUACAUAUCAUAGUAUAGUGUUGGCAAGGUGUAUAUAUCAUAGUAUAGAGUUGUAAAGGUGUAUAUAGCUGUGUAUUGCGUUGUAGAGCAUACAACAUUGUUUUGUGUUUUUAUUGAUGAACAUAUCGUUGUAUAGUGUUGAUAAGGUGUACAUACCAUGAGUAUAGUGUUGACAAGGUGUAUAUGUGAGUUAGGUUAGUUUUACGCCGCACUCAACACUAUUCCAGCUAUAUUGCGGUGGUCUGCAAAUAAUCGGGUAUGGACCAGACAAUCCUGUGAUGACCAGCAUAGGCCUUUCCUAAAUUAGGUAGCUAAAAAAAAUAGCAUAAAUAUCCAAAACGAGGUUGAGUGAGCACGAGAAGGGAAUCCCCGGCGAGAAACAUGGUGUCAUCUGUGGUAAUUCUACAGUCAGAGGGAUUUGUCUUUACUGCCAGAGGGUCUUCUAACUCAAGACUUGUUGAUAACUACCUUCAGUCAAGAUCCAAGGCAUCAGGAAAGAGUCACAUGCAAAAGCAUACAAGUAUUUCAACGAGAAAUACUUUGAGAAACAGACACAGUGACACAGUUUUAUUGGUGUGACUGAUGGUUACGUUGAAGAUGCAAAGUGUGACUGUCCCAAAGGUAAAGGGAAAGGUUGGAGCCUUUACUGUAUGACAUCGGUCACUUAAAGAAACUGGGAAACAAGGUGAUUCCAACAGACCCUGUGAAAACAUCUCAGCCACAGACAUGGCAUAAACCUAGAGAGGAGAAAAAAUAACUGGAGUGGAAGUGCAAGACGUUGUGGCUGUUGGAUACAAACAAAAGCACAAUCCCAUCGAAGCACCUAAAAGGACGGGUGAAAUCAACAUUAUACAACCCUCUCGGGACUGAUAUGCUAGACCAUGCUGCACUCUAUGCAUUACUGGGUAAAGUUUUCACCAUCUGCUAUGAUUACCCCAGCCUUAGAGCUAUAAGUGAGUGGGUAUGUCCCAAUGGUUGAAACUUGUUUUGUAAAUUUCAGAAGGGGUCUGUUAUAGCUGUGCAUCAGAAAUUGAAUCUCCACUCUAACAUUUCUAUUUUUGACAAUUUUAAGUAUCCACAAUUACCAGUAUCCAACAAGAUAGAAAACAAUAUGGUUGUGUUUCCACUGACAAAGGAAAAGCAGUUGAAAUUGGAGUCUUUGAAGUGCACUGUUGAAGAAAUACAUACAUUUGAGGAAGAAACCAGGCUACAGAGUGACUGUAGUCUUUGGUAUAAACUUAUGAAAGAUCGUCUGGUGCUUCAAAGAUGCGCAGUGUAUUUACCAGAAGUGACAACUUUGAAAGACUAGCUGAAGAUCUGCGAAAAAAAACAAGACAGACACAGGCCAUGGCAACAGGACUAGCAAAUGGACCACUUGCUAUUGAUAGAUACAUUCAGGUACUUGAUGGAGCAAACAUUUAUCCUGUUGGCAUUGUUAUAAGCCCCUGGUCUUAUUGGAUCGCCGCUACACCAGAUCGGAACGUUUAUAUACUAAAUCGCCAGCCUGCUAUUGGUAUUCCUGAUGUCCAUGUGUCACAUCUGUUCUUGGAAGUAUCAUACCUGAAGAGAGUGGGGGAUCGUCUUCAACUUAAUCAUAACCAUCCAUAUUACACACAAGUGCAGACUCAACUUGGAGUCACAGGACUAGAGUGGUGUCAUUUCUUUGUUUGGUGUGAAAAUUACUAUCAUCUGGAAACAAUCCUUUUGAUGCUGAAGAAUGGCACGC